UCCAGAGAUGGAUUUGUGCCUUCGGGAACUGUGAGACAGGUGCUGCAUGGCUGUCGUCAGCUCGUGUUGUGAAAUGUUGGGUUAAGUCCCGCAACGAGCGCAACCCUUAUCCUUUGUUGCCAGCGAUUAGGUCGGGAACUCAAAGGAGACUGCCAGUGAUAAACUGGAGGAAGGUGGGGAUGACGUCAAGUCAUCAUGGCCCUUACGACCAGGGCUACACACGUGCUACAAUGGCGCAUACAAAGAGAAGCGACCU
This 256-nucleotide ribosomal RNA is filed under the name Salmonella enterica subsp. enterica serovar Kentucky. RNAcentral describes it as "partial 16S ribosomal RNA". It matches the Rfam family "Bacterial small subunit ribosomal RNA", at positions 999 to 1255 of the family's 1533-position model. Lineage: Bacteria; Pseudomonadati; Pseudomonadota; Gammaproteobacteria; Enterobacterales; Enterobacteriaceae. The record is from RNAcentral.